CCUACGGGGGGCAGCAGUAGGGAAUCUUCCACAAUGGGCGAAAGCCUGAUGGAGCAACGCCGCGUGGGUGAAGAAGGUCUUCGGAUCGUAAAACCCUGUUGUUAGAGAAGAAAGUGCGUGAGAGUAACUGUUCACGUUUCGACGGUAUCUAACCAGAAAGCCACGGCUAACUACGUGCCAGCAGCCGCGGUAAUACGUAGGUGGCAAGCGUUAUCCGGAUUUAUUGGGCGUAAAGGGAACGCAGGCGGUCUUUUAAGUCUGAUGUGAAAGCCUUCGGCUUAACCGGAGUAGUGCAUUGGAAACUGGGAGACUGGAGUGCAGAAGAGGAGAGUGGAACUCCAUGUGUAGCGGUGAAAUGCGUAGAUAUAUGGAGGAACACCAGUGGCGAAAGCGGCUCUCUGGUCUGUAACUGACGCUGAGGUUCGAAAGCGUGGGUAGCAAACAGGAUUAGAUACCCCUGUAGUC
Molecule: ribosomal RNA, 465 nt
Filed under: uncultured bacterium
Lineage: Bacteria
Description: partial 16S ribosomal RNA
Rfam family: Bacterial small subunit ribosomal RNA
Source: RNAcentral